GGUCAACAUUGGUUAUGGUCCCAUGGCUGUAGGACCGAGAUGGUUAGCAUAUGCUUCAAAUAAUCCACUGUUGUCAAACACCGGGCGCUUGAGUCCCCAAAGUCUUAGUCCUUCUCCAGGUGUUAGCCCUUCUACAUCACCCGGUAAUGGAAAUCUCGUAGCUAGGUAUGCCAUGGAGUCCAGCAAACAUUUAGCUGCUGGGUUGAUCAAUCUUGGAGACAUGGGCUACAAAACUUUGUCCAAAUACUGUCAUGAACUUCUUCCUGAUGGGAGUAAUUCGCCUGUGUCAACGAGUGCUAGCUGGAAAGUUGGGAGGGUUCCAGCACAUUCAACUGAAACAGAUGCUGCGGGCAUGGUUGUUAUUAAAGAUUUUGUUUCUCGAGCAGUUAUAUCACAAUUCAGGGCACACACCAGUCCUAUAUCUGCUCUGUGUUUUGAUCCUAGUGGCACUCUUCUUGUUACUGCCUCUACUCGUGGGAAUAAUAUAAACCUAUUUCGAAUUGUACCUUCUUGCUCAAAUGGAGCAGGAAGUCAAAACAGCGACUGGAAAGCUUCACAUGUCCACCUCUACAAGCUUCAUCGGGGUGUAACUCCAGCUGUGAUACAAGACAUUUGUUUUAGUCACUACAGUCAGUGGGUAGCUAUUAUUUCAUCCAGGGGAACUUGCCAUCUUUUUGUACUAUCCCCUUUUGGCGGUGAGGCUGGUCUUCAACUACAAAAUUCUUAUGUUGAUGGACCUAUCCUUCAACCUAUUCUUUCAGGACCAUGGUGGUCUACAUCAUCUUUCCUAGUCAAUCAGCAGUCUUUUGUGGCAGCGCCUGCACCUAUCACACUCUCUGUGGUCAACAGGAUAAAGAAUGUGAAUUCAGGUUGGCUAAAUACAGUGAGCAAUGCUGCAUCUUCUGCAGCAGGA
RNAcentral lists this unclassified non-coding RNA (913 nucleotides) under Hevea brasiliensis (rubber tree). The record is from RNAcentral. Lineage: Eukaryota; Viridiplantae; Streptophyta; Magnoliopsida; Malpighiales; Euphorbiaceae.